This 368-nucleotide ribosomal RNA is filed under the name uncultured organism. RNAcentral describes it as "bacterial SSU rRNA". It matches the Rfam family "Bacterial small subunit ribosomal RNA", at positions 526 to 896 of the family's 1533-position model. The record is from RNAcentral.
CGGAGGAUCCAAGCGUUAUCCGGAAUCAUUGGGUUUAAAGGGUCCGUAGGCGGUUUUAUAAGUCAGUGGUGAAAUCUGGUCGCUCAACGAUCAAACGGCCAUUGAUACUGUAAGACUUGAAUUACUUGGAAGUAACUAGAAUAUGUAGUGUAGCGGUGAAAUGCUUAGAGAUUACAUGGAAUACCAAUUGCGAAGGCAGGUUACUACAAGUAUAUUGACGCUGAUGGACGAAAGCGUGGGGAGCGAACAGGAUUAGAUACCCUGGUAGUCCACGCCGUAAACGAUGGAUACUAGCUGUUUGGAGCAAUCUGUGUGGCUAAGCGAAAGUGAUAAGUAUCCCAACCGUGGGGAGUACGCUCGCAAGAGUG